AGACUGACAGGAAACCAUCUCAGAAGAG
RNAcentral lists this non-coding RNA (28 nucleotides) under Cricetulus griseus (Chinese hamster). The record is from RNAcentral. Lineage: Eukaryota; Metazoa; Chordata; Mammalia; Rodentia; Cricetidae.